GACGAACGCUGGCGGCGUGCUUAACACAUGCAAGUCGAACGGAAAGGCCCAGCUUGCUGGGUACUCGAGUGGCGAACGGGUGAGUAACACGUGGGUGAUCUGCCCUGCACUCUGGGAUAAGCCUGGGAAACUGGGUCUAAUACCGGAUAUGACCAACUGUCGCAUGGUGGUUGGUGGAAAAGCUUUUGCGGUGUGGGAUGGGCCCGCGGCCUAUCAGCUUGUUGGUGGGGUAAUGGCCUACCAAGGCGACGACGGGUAGCCGACCUGAGAGGGUGAUCGGCCACACUGGGACUGAGACACGGCCCAGACUCCUACGGGAGGCAGCAGUGGGGAAUAUUGCACAAUGGGCGCAAGCCUGAUGCAGCGACGCCGCGUGAGGGAUGACGGCCUUCGGUUGUAAACCUCUUCUACCAGGGACGAAGCGUGAGUGACGGUACCUGGAG
Molecule: ribosomal RNA, 443 nt
Filed under: uncultured bacterium
Lineage: Bacteria
Description: bacterial SSU rRNA
Rfam family: Bacterial small subunit ribosomal RNA
Source: RNAcentral